UCCCAGAAAAAGAAAGGGAAAAGAAGCUUACUGAUGGUGGACUUGAUAUUUGUGGAUUGGAGAGCAUAAAACUUGUUCACUGUGAGGAAAAUGCUGUCAUCAGACAACAUUAGGAGAGUCUUCCUGUAGAGACUUUUACUUUUGAUUCUCCAGAGCAUCUCCCUUGUAGAGAUACAAAGUCAACAUCUUUACAUCUUUCUGGGUUCUGUACUAGCUCUUGGAUUCGUGAAAUGCAGCAAGCUUCUGACAAACCAAUAAUCAUUAGUGAAAACCUGGAUGCUAGGACUAGAAACCUGGUCUCUGUGUCCAGAAUCAGUCAAAUGAAUUGGUGAGUAUGGUACUGGCAAUGGUUGCUGAAGAAAAGCAAAUAAAUCGUGAUCUAGAGGGACUCUUUGCUGAGGAGGGAAAUAGAUGUGUAUUAAACCUGUAAAUUCUACCUAUUUCACCCGGAAGAGCUUUUGUUUUUAUGAAAUAAUGAUUAGGGGACAUCAAAGAGAUGAAAUUGUGAUUGGGUAUCGCCUUGCAAAUGCAUAUCUUGCAAUAAUUAACCCUUCAGAGAAGUCAAAACCAAGAAAAUGGUCCCUUGAUGAUGUUUUUAUUGUCAUCUCCUUAGGUGAAUGAUAAUGUGGUCUUAGAAAAAGAAAGACGAAAGAAGCUUACUGAUAGUGGACUUGAUAUUCAUGGAUUGUAGAGCAUAAAACUUCUUCAACGCAAGGAAAAUGCUGUCAUCAGAUGACAUUUGGAGAGUCUUUCUCUAGAGACUUUUAAUUCUUCAAAGCGUCUCCCUUAUAGAGAUUAUACAAAGUCAACGUCUUUAAAUCUUUCUGGGUUCUCUCAUAGCUCUUGGAUUGGUGAAAUGCAGCAAGCUUCUGACAAAUCAAUAAUCAUUGGUGAAAUCCUGGAUUCUUGGACUGGAAACCUGGUCUCAGUGGCCAGAAUCAAUGAUUGUGUUACCAAAUGAACUGGUGAGUAUGGCACUGGCAAUGUUGGCUGAAGACGAGCAAAAAAAUCGUGUUCUAGAUAAUUCGUUGCUGUGGAGGGGAAUGAGAUGUGUAUUAAACCUGCAGAAUUCGAUCUAUUUGACUAGGAAGAGCUUUCUUUUUACAAAACAAUAAUCAGGGGACGUCAAAGAAACGAAAUUGUGAUUUGGUAUCGCCUUUCAAAUGCAGAUCAUGUGAUAAUUAACCCUCCAGAGAAGUCAAAACCAAGAAAAUGGCCCCUUGAUGAUGUUUUUGUUGUCAUCUGCUUGGGUGAAUGACUGUAAACAAUUGAUGGUUUCUGGUAUCAUAGCAUCUAUUAGGUCUUUUCUUUAUAUUCUAUCCAACUCUACAAAAAUUCUCUCCCAACCUCCCUUGUACGUACAUGGCCAGUUGUAAUUGAAAAAAAAUAUUCUGAAAAUAUUUUGACCAAAAGAGAUGGUUACUUGUAGAUCACAAACUUUCAAAUUUGACUCUGUGAAGCAUGUUUUGUACAAUUGUAAUAUAGUACUGUGAACUGAAAAAUGAGUUGAUCAUGUUCAAAUGACAGGCCUUUGGCAGUAUUCCUCAUUA
Hevea brasiliensis (rubber tree) is the source of this 1550-nucleotide long non-coding RNA. RefSeq lists it as uncharacterized. The record is from RefSeq and is a predicted model, not a curated record. NCBI's taxonomy places the organism in Eukaryota, Viridiplantae, Streptophyta, Magnoliopsida, Malpighiales, Euphorbiaceae. The transcript has 6 exons.